Molecule: ribosomal RNA, 602 nt
Filed under: Daldinia loculata
Lineage: Eukaryota; Fungi; Ascomycota; Sordariomycetes; Xylariales; Hypoxylaceae
Description: eukaryotic LSU rRNA
Rfam family: 5.8S ribosomal RNA (bases 170-323)
Source: RNAcentral
UUAUCUAAACUCCCAACCCUUUGUGAACCUUACCGUCGUUGCCUCGGCGGGCUGUACUUACCCUGUAGCUACCCUGUAGCUACCCGGUAGGUGCGCUCCAAGCCCGCCGGUGGACCACUAAAUUCUAUUUUACUACUGUAUCUCUGAAUGCUUCAACUUAAUAAGUUAAAACUUUCAACAACGGAUCUCUUGGUUCUGGCAUCGAUGAAGAACGCAGCGAAAUGCGAUAAGUAAUGUGAAUUGCAGAAUUCAGUGAAUCAUCGAAUCUUUGAACGCACAUUGCGCCCAUUAGUAUUCUAGUGGGCAUGCCUAUUCGAGCGUCAUUUCAACCCUUAAGCCUAGUUGCUUAGUGUUGGGAAUCUGCCCUGUAUUUAUAGGGCAGUUCCUUAAAGUGAUCGGCGGAGUUAGGGCAUACUCUAAGCGUAGUAAUAUUCUUCUCGCUUCUGUAGUUGUCCUGGCGGCUUGCCGUUAAACCCCUAUAUUUCUAGUGGUUGACCUCGGAUUAGGUAGGAAUACCCGCUGAACUUAAGCAUAUCAAUAAGCGGAGGAAAAGAAACCAACAGGGAUUGCCCUAGUAACGGCGAGUGAAGCGGCAACAGCUC